CCUGUUUUAAUCAUAGUGGUUAGUGAUGCUGACUGCUGUGCUGUAGGGCCUGGUUCGAAUCCCGGAAAAAAGG
Molecule: non-coding RNA, 73 nt
Organism: Trichonephila clavipes
Lineage: Eukaryota; Metazoa; Arthropoda; Arachnida; Araneae; Nephilidae
Source: the annotation of a GenBank genome assembly